UACAGGGGGUGCAACCGUUGCUCGGAAUUAUUGGGCGUAAAGCGCGCGUAGGCGGCUACUUAAGUCGGCUGUGAAAGCCCUUGGCUCAACUGAGGAAGUGCACCCGAAACUGAGUGGCUAGAGUACGAAAGAGGGUCGCGGAAUUCCCGGUGUAGAGGUGAAAUUCGUAGAUAUCGGGAGGAACACCGGUGGCGAAGGCGGCGACCUGGGUCGAUACUGACGCUGAUGCGCGAAAGCGUGGGGAGCAAACAGG
Molecule: ribosomal RNA, 253 nt
Filed under: uncultured bacterium
Lineage: Bacteria
Description: partial 16S ribosomal RNA
Rfam family: Bacterial small subunit ribosomal RNA
Source: RNAcentral